CUAUACUGCAGUCGUACGCUUCUUUUUCCACCGGAGCUUGCUCCACCGGAAAAAGAAGAGUGGCGAACGGGUGAGUAACACGUGGGUAACCUGCCCAUCAGAAGGGGAUAACACUUGGAAACAGGUGCUAAUACCGUAUAACAAUCGAAACCGCAUGGUUUUGAUUUGAAAGGCGCUUUCGGGUGUCGCUGAUGGAUGGACCCGCGGUGCAUUAGCUAGUUGGUGAGGUAACGGCUCACCAAGGCCACGAUGCAUAGCCGACCUGAGAGGGUGAUCGGCCACAUUGGGACUGAGACACGGCCCAAACUCCUACGGGAGGCAGCAGUAGGGAAUCUUCGGCAAUGGACGAAAGUCUGACCGAGCAACGCCGCGUGAGUGAAGAAGGUUUUCGGAUCGUAAAACUCUGUUGUUAGAGAAGAACAAGGAUGAGAGUAACUGUUCAUCCCUUGACGGUAUCUAACCAGAAAGCCACGGCUAACUACGUGCCAGCAGCCGCGGUAAUACGUAGGUGGCAAGCGUUGUCCGGAUUUAUUGGGCGUAAAGCGAGCGCAGGCGGUUUCUUAAGUCUGAUGUGAAAGCCCCCGGCUCAACCGGGGAGGGUCAUUGGAAACUGGGAGACUUGAGUGCAGAAGAGGAGAGUGGAAUUCCAUGUGUAGCGGUGAAAUGCGUAGAUAUAUGGAGGAACACCAGUGGCGAAGGCGGCUCUCUGGUCUGUAACUGACGCUGAGGCUCGAAAGCGUGGGGAGCA
This 748-nucleotide ribosomal RNA is filed under the name Enterococcus sp. M324. RNAcentral's name for it is "bacterial SSU rRNA". It matches the Rfam family "Bacterial small subunit ribosomal RNA", at positions 49 to 770 of the family's 1533-position model. Lineage: Bacteria; Bacillati; Bacillota; Bacilli; Lactobacillales; Enterococcaceae. The record is from RNAcentral.